RNAcentral lists this long non-coding RNA (3106 nucleotides) under Sus scrofa (pig). RNAcentral's name for it is "lncRNA (ENSSSCG00050030103.1)". The record is from RNAcentral. Lineage: Eukaryota; Metazoa; Chordata; Mammalia; Artiodactyla; Suidae.
GCCGUACCCACAGCAUAUGGAGGUUCCCAGGCUAGGGGUCAAAUCGGAGCUACAGCUGCCGGCCUACGCCACAGCCACAGCAAUGCCAGAUCCGAGCCUUGUCUGCUCCUUACACCACAGCUCAUGGCAACAGAGGCCAGGGAUUGAACGCACAUCCUAAUGGAUCCUAGUUGGAUUCAUUUCUGCUGUGCCACAAUGGGAACUCCCCUUCCUUUUUCCAACGGUUGAGUGUCUCCUGGGAUAUGCAUGCUCUGUUCCAUUUCUUUCUUUUUUUAAACAGACCCAGAGUCCCAGAAGAAGUUAGAUGUUGUGCUUACAAACUGCAUACACAUGGGCAUCAUGGAAGUGCAAAACUCCAAUAAAGAAAUAAGCACAUGGUUUCUUAGUUCAUUUUUUAUGUUAAUGAUGAAAGUGCAGGUAAGAAAAUAAGAACUAGCCUUAAGGACAUAUAAGUGAUGGAAAGAGAAGGAAAAUUCUAGGUGGAGCCCAGAGAAGUUAUCAUUCUCUUCCUAUCAACAUUGGGUGGAUGUGCAGGCCCCUUGCUUUAUAGCAGCAGAACAAAAUAAAAUGACUGAUGAUCAAAGAAACUCACAGAUGCCUACAGAAUUAAAUUAUCAACCCACUUUGACAUUUUGCAAGUAUAAAUAGAAACAGAAAUAACUAGAGGUGUAGAAAUAGUUGAAGAAGCCCCUCAACAUUAAAUUCUAAACUUCAAAUUUGAAACACCUAGAGAUUGGGGUUUCUCUGUAAUCUAUAAAUCAGCCUUGAUUCAAAGAAAUAGCCAGGCUGGCAUGGGGGAGCAACUUUAGAUCUGGCCAGCACAGGACCUGGGGAGGCUCAGUAGAGACCCACUAUCUGUUAAUAAGGAAGAAGACCCAAAACAGAGCCAGGACAAAUAAUUCUGUCAUUUUAAUGUCAAAAGUGUCCAACCAUUCUUUAUUGUGAAAAGGAUACAUAAUUAAGCUGUAUCUUUAUAUUAUUAUUUUUUUUUUACUAUUUGGCAUAUUAUUCAUUCCCAGUGAUGUUUCAUUUCUCCUCAAAUGAUUCUUUUGCAACCUUUAGAAAGCCCUGCAAUUUCCUUUUCAUUUGGCCGAACGUGGCAGACACAGGAGGGAGAGCUUCUAAAUCCUGUUGCUCAGAAUAUGGCUUUUUUUUUUUUUUUUUUUUUUUUGUCUUUUCAGGGUCGCACCCACUGCAAAUGGAGGUUCCCAGGCUAGGGGUCUAAUCGAAGCUACAGCUGCCAGCCUACACCAGAGCCACAGCAACGCCAGAUCUGAGCCACGUCUGUGACCUAUAGCACAGCUCAUGGCAAUGCCUGAUCCUUAACCCACUGAGUAAGGCCAGGAAUCGAACUCAAAACCUCGUGGUUCCUCGUGGUUUCUGCUGCGCCACAACGGGAACUCCCAGAAUAUGUUUAAAAAAAAAAAAAAAAGCAGGACCCCAGACAGGUGUGUAACUGUUUGAAUGGGCUAUCUCUUAUACAACUAGGAAUAAGACCUACUUGGAAGAAGUUUUGCUCUAGAAACUGUUGAUGCUCUUGACUUAUUGAGGGGAGUUCCAUAAAAUGGCCAUUACCAACUGUAUAAGACAAAACUCGUGUUAGCUCGAAGGUUAGUCCCUGUUUUAAAAUCCCAAAAAAGAUAAACCCUAUUAUGGGCCAUUUCCACUUUCCCCACUGCUUCCCUGACAAGAGGUAAUGUGGGUCUGAGGAGGAAACUGAAGAUUCAUGGCCCAAAUAGAGCAGAAGUCUUGUCUUGUGUAACUGCCCAAAUGCUAAUACAAACUCAUUGUUGCUCAAUUUGUUCUUUAAAAGCUGUGCUUUAUUCUAUUAACUUUGAUUUGCCCUCUUAGCUUCUGUCAUUUUUCCAUACUGGACUGUCCUGGCAAUCCUCCUCACCUUUCUGUCUGGGUUUCAGUCUCUGACAGGGGCUCUGUGCCUAGGUCUCCCUGCCAGGAUCCAUCUGGCCCAUCGGUAACUAACAGUCAUCUUAGCCUUGUCCAGUGGUGAUAGCUUCACCCGUAGAUUUAACUGAGACAAAACUGAACAACUUACCAUAAAUAUCGGAGUCAAGAAAAAAUUAUUAGGAGACUAGGCGUACAUAAGUUUAGAUAAAAACAGAGAAGGCAGGACGACAGUGUGGUCCAAGUAAUUUUCUCUGUGCAAAGAUGCCUUCUAUUUAGUAUAACUAAACACAUUACUUCUGGGGAAAAAAAAAAACAACAACAAAAAUUCACACUCCAAAAAAGGGAGAAAAACUAGUAUUGAGAGCAAUUAUGAGUAUGACUUAAAAUGUCACUUUUCAUCUGUUGUACAGGAGAGUAAAUAUCAUGAAAACUUAACCAUGAUAAGGAAAAAAAAAACACUUAACCAUGAUGAAAUAUUUGUCAAACAGUAUUUGUUCCUAUAUUAAGAAAUUAAUACCCACAUGCACAACUUUGAGUUGAUAGAAACUAAAAACUUAAGGUAAUAGAAUUAAGGAUUUCAUUUUCCUUUUUAGAGUUUUAUAUAUUUUUCAAAUUUUUUGGAAAGGCGUUUUGGAAAUAGAAAAAAAAAAAAAGGUCUAAAGCUAAAAACUCUUUAACGUAAUUUUUCUUACUGAAUAGUUAUUAUCCUGUUCAUGAGACAUGACCAUAAUAACUCAAAGCCACUAUUUUUUUUUUUUUUUAAUUUGGUUGAACCUGCAGCAUGCAGAAAUUCCCAGGCCAGGGACUGAACCCAUGCCACUGUAGCAACCACAACCACUGCAGUGACAACAUUGGAUGCUUAAACCACUGAGCCAUAUGGGAACUCCUCAAAGUUACUAUUGACUUCAUCAGGAUGAGGCUAGCUAUGUGCUUAAGUAAUAAUUGAAGUAAGGAUGAGAAAUAAAUUUUACGGAAAGUAAGAAUAAUACUAUGCCUUAUCUAUAAGAUCCCAAACCAGAAUAUAUUUGAAAAUAUUUGAGUGACUGACUUUUUUUUUUUUACUUUUCGUCUUCAUUAGUGAUACUAUGCAGCUAUCUAUAGUUUGGUAUCUCUAACCACCAGAUAACAGUUGUGAUGACCAAAAAUGCCUCUAGACACUGCCAAAUGUCCUCUGGGGUAGGAGAGAAAUCACCCCUGGUUG